GGGACUACUAGGGUAUCUAAUCCUGUUCGCUCCCCACGCUUUCGAGCCUCAGCGUCAGUUACAGACCAGAGAGCCGCUUUCGCCACCGGUGUUCCUCCAUAUAUCUACGCAUUUCACCGCUACACAUGGAAUUCCACUCUCCCCUUCUGCACUCAAGUUUGACAGUUUCCAAAGCGAACUAUGGUUGAGCCACAGCCUUUAACUUCAGACUUAUCAAACCGCCUGCGCUCGCUUUACGCCCAAUAAAUCCGGACAACGCUCGGGACCUACGUAUUACCGCGGCUGCUGGCACGUAGUUAGCCGUCCCUUUCUGGUAAGCUACCGUCACAGUGUGAACUUUCCACUCUCACACUCGUUCUUGACUUACAACAGAGCUUUACGAUCCGAAAACCUUCUUCAC
Molecule: unclassified non-coding RNA, 400 nt
Filed under: uncultured fungus
Lineage: Eukaryota; Fungi
Description: sequence contains ITS1
Source: RNAcentral